GCGCACGCUGGCGGCAGGCCUAACACAUGCAAGUCGCACGAACUCUUCGGAGUUAGUGGCGGACGGGUGAGUAACACGUGGGAACGUGCCUUUAGGUUCGGAAUAACUCAGGGAAACUUGUGCUAAUACCGAAUGUGCCCUUCGGGGGAAAGAUUUAUCGCCUUUAGAGCGGCCCGCGUCUGAUUAGCUAGUUGGUGAGGUAAAGGCUCACCAAGGCGACGAUCAGUAGCUGGUCUGAGAGGAUGAUCAGCCACAUUGGGACUGAGACACGGCCCAAACUCCUACGGGAGGCAGCAGUGGGGAAUCUUGCGCAAUGGGCGAAAGCCUGACGCAGCCAUGCCGCGUGAAUGAUGAAGGUCUUAGGAUUGUAAAAUUCUUUCACCGGGGACGAUAAUGACGGUACCCGGAGAAGAAGCCCCGGCUAACUUCGUG
This 432-nucleotide ribosomal RNA is filed under the name uncultured bacterium. RNAcentral describes it as "partial 16S ribosomal RNA". It matches the Rfam family "Bacterial small subunit ribosomal RNA", at positions 29 to 507 of the family's 1533-position model. The record is from RNAcentral.